Molecule: ribosomal RNA, 313 nt
Filed under: Porphyrobacter sp.
Lineage: Bacteria; Pseudomonadati; Pseudomonadota; Alphaproteobacteria; Sphingomonadales; Erythrobacteraceae
Description: bacterial SSU rRNA
Rfam family: Bacterial small subunit ribosomal RNA
Source: RNAcentral
AAACUUGAGAGUUUGAUCCUGGCUCAGAACGAACGCUGGCGGCAUGCCUAACACAUGCAAGUCGAACGAGACCUUCGGGUCUAGUGGCGCACGGGUGCGUAACGCGUGGGAACCUGCCUUUAGGUUCGGAAUAACUCAGAGAAAUUUGAGCUAAUACCGGAUGAUGUCUUCGGACCAAAGAUUUAUCGCCUUUAGAUGGGCCCGCGUUGGAUUAGCUAGUUGGUGGGGUAAAGGCCUACCAAGGCGACGAUCCAUAGCUGGUCUUAGAGGAUGAUCAGCCACACUGGGACUGAGACACGGCCCAGACUCCUAC